This 80-nucleotide transfer RNA is filed under the name Colletotrichum orbiculare MAFF 240422. Its description in RNAcentral is "tRNA-Glu for anticodon UUC". It matches the Rfam family "tRNA". From Rfam's summary of the family: Transfer RNA (tRNA) molecules are approximately 80 nucleotides in length. Lineage: Eukaryota; Fungi; Ascomycota; Sordariomycetes; Glomerellales; Glomerellaceae. The record is from Rfam by way of RNAcentral.
UCCCAUGUAGUCUAUCGGUUAGGAUACUCCGCUUUCAAACUCUAUCCGGAGAGGGCCGGGUUCGAUUCCCGGCGUGGGAA